This 68-nucleotide transfer RNA is filed under the name Scincella huanrenensis. RNAcentral describes it as "tRNA-Pro". It matches the Rfam family "tRNA". From Rfam's summary of the family: Transfer RNA (tRNA) molecules are approximately 80 nucleotides in length. Their secondary structure includes four short double-helical elements and three loops (D, anti-codon, and T loops). Lineage: Eukaryota; Metazoa; Chordata; Lepidosauria; Squamata; Scincidae. The record is from RNAcentral.
CAGAAGAUAGUUUAGUUAAAAUACUAGUUUUGGGGAUUAGUGAUAAGGGUUUAAUUCCUUUCUUUUGA